GAAGCUGACCAGACAGUCGCCGCUUCGUCGUCGUCCUUUCGGGGAGACGGGCGGAGGGGAGGAAAGUCCGGGCUCCAUAGGGCAGGGUGCCAGGUAACGCCUGGGGGGGGAAACCCACGACCAGUGCAACAGAGAGCAAACCGCCGAUGGCCCACGUAAGUGGGAUCAGGUAAGGGUGAAAGGGUGCGGUAAGAGCGCACCGCGCGGCUGGUAACAGUCCGUGGCACGGUAAACUCCACCCGGAGCAAGGCCAAAUAGGGGUUCAUAAGGUACGGCCCGUACUGAACCCGGGUAGGCUGCUUGAGCCAGUGAGCGAUCGCUGGCCUAGAUGAAUGACUGUCCACGACAGAACCCGGCUUAUCGGUCAGUUUCACUU
Molecule: RNase P RNA, 376 nt
Filed under: Salmonella enterica
Lineage: Bacteria; Pseudomonadati; Pseudomonadota; Gammaproteobacteria; Enterobacterales; Enterobacteriaceae
Description: RNase P RNA component class A
Rfam family: Bacterial RNase P class A
About the family: Ribonuclease P (RNase P) is a ubiquitous endoribonuclease, found in archaea, bacteria and eukarya as well as chloroplasts and mitochondria. Its best characterised activity is the generation of mature 5'-ends of tRNAs by cleaving the 5'-leader elements of precursor-tRNAs. Cellular RNase Ps are ribonucleoproteins.
Source: RNAcentral